This 72-nucleotide non-coding RNA is filed under the name Bifidobacterium mongoliense. RNAcentral's name for it is "Fluoride sequence". It matches the Rfam family "Fluoride riboswitch aptamer (crcB RNA motif)". RNAcentral also lists the same sequence under 1 other name. Lineage: Bacteria; Bacillati; Actinomycetota; Actinomycetes; Bifidobacteriales; Bifidobacteriaceae. The record is from RNAcentral.
GCAGCCAGUGGUGAUGGAUCCCGCCCGGACUUCGUGUCCAAACCGCAUAACGCUGAUGGUUCCUACUCAAUC